UUUUUUUCAUUCAUGAGACUCAAAGACCGCUGCUCACAACCUAACACUAUUGAGGUAUGUUCUCGAAUCCUUUUUUUUUUGUUUUACUAACAGUCCUCUGUUUUAAGUUUCACAAUUUUCUACAUGAGACUUAAAGACUGGAGCUCACAGCGUAGCAAACUAGCCACGUAUGCUCAUGAUUCUUAAUUGCUUAACAAUUAACUGACCGGCUUUCAUUUUAUUAUGUCAAGUUUUUCUACACGAGACCCUAAGACGGCAGCUCACACUUUGUCAUUAGUCAGAUAUGUUCUUGAAUCUUACUUCUUUUUAUGUUUACUAACCGAUUUCCGUUUUAAAAUUUAUGUUUUUUCUACAUGAGACUCUAAAGAUUGGUUAAGCGGAAUUUGACCAUGCUCAAGCAUUUUAGCAAAGUGUUGUUGUUGGAGCUGUUAUGGGUACAAAAAUGGAUGGUCAUGCAAAGGGUGGUGGAGCUCUUAGUGUUUUUUCUACACGAGACCCUAAGACGGCAGCUCACACUUUGUCAUUAGUCAGAUAUGUUCUUGAAUCUUACUUCUUUUUAUGUUUACUAACCGAUUUCCGUUUUAAAAUUUAUGUUUUUUCUACAUGAGACUCUAAAGAUUGGUUAAGCGGAAUUUGACCAUGCUCAAGCAUUUUAGCAGAGUGUUGUUGUUGGAGCUGUUAUGGGUACAAAAAUGGAUGGUCAUGCAAAGGGUGGUGGAGCUCUUAGUGUUUUUUCUACACGAGACCCUAAGACGGCAGCUCACACUUUGUCAUUAGUCAGAUAUGUUCUUGAAUCUUACUUCUUUUUAUGUUUACUAACCGAUUUCCGUUUUAAAAUUUAUGUUUUUUCUACAUGAGACUCUAAAGAUUGGUUAAGCGGAAUUUGACCAUGCUCAAGCAUUUUAGCAGAGUGUUGUUGUUGGAGCUGUUAUGGGUACAAAAAUGGAUGGUCAUGCAAAGGGUGGUGGAGCUCUUAGUGUUUUUUCUACACGAGACCCUAAGACGGCAGCUCACACUUUGUCAUUAGUCAGAUAUGUUCUUGAAUCUUACUUCUUUUUAUGUUUACUAACCGAUUUCCGUUUUAAAAUUUAUGUUUUUUCUACAUGAGACUCUAAAGAUUGGUUAAGCGGAAUUUGACCAUGCUCAAGCAUUUUAGCAGAGUGUUCUUGGAGCUGUUAUGGGUACAAAAAUGGAUGGUCAUGCAAAGGGUGGUGGAGCUCUUAGUGUUUUUUCUACACGAGACCCUAAGACGGAAGCUCACACUUUGUCAUUAGUCAGAUAUGUUCUUGAAUCUUACUUCUUUUUAUGUUUACUAACCGAUUUCCGUUUUAAAAUUUAUGUUUUUUCUACAUGAGACCCUAAAGAUUGGUUAAGCGGCAUUUGACCAUGCUCAAGCAUUUUAGCAGAGUGUUGUUGUUGGAGCUCUUAUGGGUACAAAAAUGGAUGGUCAUGCAAAGGGUGGUGGAGCUCUUAGUGUGUUCGUAUAACCCAAUUUGUCCAGACCCCCUGGAUGUGCCACACUAUGGGUAACCUGAAACAUGGGUUGGUGGGUCAGUAAAGACCGCUGCUCACAACCUAACACUAUUGAGUUUUUCUACACGAGACGCUAAGAUGGCGGCUCUCAUGGCCAAUUUAGAUAAACAAACUGGAGAGGUAAGUACUGAAUCUGUUUGUUUAAGAUAAACAAACUGGAGAGCUAAAUGACUUCCCUUAGUAAUUUUAGUUUUUUUUUCAUUCAUGAGACUCAAAGACCGCUGCUCACAACCCAACUUAGAUAAACAAACUGGAGAGCUAAAUGACUUCCCUUAGUAAUUUUAGUUUUUUUUUUCAUUCAUGAGACUCAAAGACCGCUGCUCACAACCUAACACUAUUGAGGUAUGUUCUCGAAUCCUUUUUUUUAGUUUUACUAACAGUCCUCUGUUUUAAGUUUCACAAUUUUCUACAUGAGACUUAAAGACUGGAGCUCACAGCGUAGCAAACUAGCCACGUAUGCUCAUGAUUCUUAAUUGCUUAACAAUUUACUGACCGACUUUCAUUUUAUUAUGUCAAGUUUUUCUACACGAGACCCUAAGAUGGCGGCUCUCAUGGCCAACUUAGAUAAACAAACUGGAGAGGUAAGUACUGAAUCUGUUUGUUUAAGAUGUCGUGAAUUAAGUACUAAAUUUGUUUUUUAAGAUGUGAAUUAAAGGGUGAAGUUGGCAGGUUGUCAAGACAAAACGAAAGUCUGGUGAAUGAGAUGUCGAACAUAAAAGAGUCAAACUUUUUCGUAAAAAGAAAUGAGUCUAUGUAUUUGAAGAAAAUUAAAGGAUAUGAAGCUGAAAUUGAGGCUUUAACUUGCAAAUUAAACGAAAAACUUCAAAUUAUAGACUUAGCUAAUGACACGAUGAGUGAGAAAACAAAAGGAAUUUCUGAAAAAUGCAAAGAGUUGUCAAAUGCACAACUAAAAAUCGUUGGAACUUGAAAAGAAAUUAAAUCAAUUCAGGGAUUCUUCUUUUGUAAUGAAACACAUGAUAGGUGGGUUAAAGAAGAGUAAUGACAAGACCAGUGUGGGCUUAAAGGGCUUUAAUGAAGUCCCACCUCCUCUUGGUCAUGACUAUUCAUUCCUGCCUGAUGAAGAUGAGUUAAUGGACUUUGUGUCUGAGAGUGAUGAUGCUAAGAAGAAAAAUAACAGGGAACCUUUGAAAAAGAAAAAUUCAUCUCCUAAGAAUAAAAAUCAAACUUUUGUUCAGGGAAGUGACAUGAAAAACGAAACCACUGUUAUUGAAAACGAAUCAAAUGUAGAGUUUGCAAAAAAUAAAAACAUAGAAAAAUCUGUAUCUAAGCAAACUGAACAAGAUUCUUCCAAGGCAUCAUCAUCUGAUGAGGGAUCUAGCUCAAAGACUUCAGCUAAAAAGUCUUCGAAAAGCAGAUCGUGCUUCAAGUGUCACACAAAGGGACAUGUAGCUAGUUGUUGUCCUAACAAAAAGUCUGGAGCACAAGUUAGUGAGAGAAAGAGAGAGAAAUCACUAGAGAAGAGUGGUGAUAAUAUGGAGAAAAUGUCAAACUCUCCAAAGAAAUCUGUUCCUAAGCAACAUGAGGGUGUUGCUGUUGGUGUAGAUAAGGCUGAAAAAGAAACUCCACAAGUUACUCGUUUUCAAAGAAAUCAACCAAGAUUUCAGCCUGAAUCUACAUCAGGCAGAUAUGAGAGACCUAGAAGCAGUUCACCAAAAAUGAACAAUUUUAUUGAAAAUUAAAGUAAUUUCAGAAGUCAAGGUCAAUAUCAAACUCGAUACCAAAAUAAUGGUGAUCGAACUUUUUAUAAUAAUGGCUUUAGAAAUUACAACAAUCAAGAUUAUAGGAAUCAAAACUCAAGGUACCAAAACCAAAAUAGUUCAAACACAUAUAGGAACCCUCAGGACCAUAGACCUAGUGGAAAUCAAAAUCAAAUUCCAUUAACAGGUUUGAGAUCCAAGACUCCUGUUAGGAGUAAUGGAUAUUGGAUGGAUGUUUCAGUAGUUGGUGAAUUUGGACGACCCAAGACCAUUAAGGCUUGGGUCCCCCAAUCUAACUAAUUUUAUGGUUGGUGUGUGCAGGAGCUGCUAAGCAGGAUUAUCAACUUAUGGUAUGUUGAUAGUGGUUGUUCUAGGCACAUGACGGGGGAUGCAAGAUUGUUGAAUGAGUUUGAAAAUUAUGAUGGUGGACAUGUGAACUUUGCUGGUGUUAAAGGUGGUAGAAUUACAGGUAGAGGAAAAGUGACCAAUGGGAAGAUCACACUAGACAAAGUGAACUAUGUUGAGCAGCUUAAGCACAAUCUGAUAAGCGUGUCACAAGUCUGCGACAAGGGUCACUCGGUCCAUUUUAUCAAGACUGAAACAUUAGUAUUGAAACCAGGUUUGGUGAUUCCGGACGAUUGAAUAGUGAUGAGAGCGCCAAGGAGAAAUGAUAGUUAUGUCAUGGACAUGGGUGCCAAGGAUCCGACUGCUGUGGUGGCGUGUUUACUAUCAAAAGCAUCUGAAACUGAAUCAAUGUUGUGACACAGACGCAUGACCCAUAUUCACUAUCGCAAAAUGAACUAUAUUAUUAAAAAUGAAUUAGUGAAAGGAGUUCCAAUGCAGAGGUUUCACGUGGAAGAUAAAUGUCUUCCAUGUCAAAAGGGAAAACAACAUAAGAAACUCACAAAUCAAAAACAGUAAAUUCCAUAGAUGCCCCUUAUGAAUUACUUCACAUGGAUUUAUUCGAUCCAGUGAACGUGAGGAGCAUAGGUGGAAAAUACAUUGUCUUGUUGUCACAGAUGAUUACUCACGUUAUUCAUGGGUUUUCUUUUUAGGUACAAAAGAUGAGACAGCGGAGAUGCUGAUAGAUCUUUUUACAAAAUUGGAAAACGUCCAUGAAGCAAGGAUCAAGAGGAUAAGGAGUGAUAAUGGCACGGAGUUCAAGAAGCGGAUUCUGGAUCUCUACUGUCUUCGAAGGGGAAUUGAAUAUCAAUAUUCUGCUCCUUAUACGCCUCAACAGAAUGGAGUUGCUGAGAGGAAACACAGGACGUUGAUUGAAGCCGCUAGGACUAUGCUUUCAGAUUCAAAGCUUCCAGUUCUUUUCUGGGGAGAAGCUGUGAAUAUAGCUUGCUACGUCCUAAACAAAGUUUUAAUCGUUGAACGUUUUAACAAAACAUGUCAUGAAUUAAUGUUUAACGGGAAACUACACUUAACCUGCUUUGAGCCAUUUGGAUUACCAUG
Helianthus annuus (common sunflower) is the source of this 4712-nucleotide RNA transcript. It is a transcript of the gene named vitellogenin-2-like, with no coding region annotated. The transcript has 7 exons. NCBI's taxonomy places the organism in Eukaryota, Viridiplantae, Streptophyta, Magnoliopsida, Asterales, Asteraceae. The record is from RefSeq and is a predicted model, not a curated record.